RNAcentral lists this microRNA (20 nucleotides) under Corchorus olitorius. RNAcentral describes it as "ath-miR50". Lineage: Eukaryota; Viridiplantae; Streptophyta; Magnoliopsida; Malvales; Malvaceae. The record is from RNAcentral.
UAAGAAGAAGAAGAAGAAAG